This 261-nucleotide long non-coding RNA is filed under the name Physcomitrium patens. Its description in RNAcentral is "long non-coding RNA (PPAT_LNC011268)". Lineage: Eukaryota; Viridiplantae; Streptophyta; Bryopsida; Funariales; Funariaceae. The record is from RNAcentral.
CAACCCAAACUGUUAAUCUUCAAUAUUGCUUUGUACUUACGAUCUUGUAUCCACUGACUGUUUUGUUAGAUUAACCCAAUAAAUUUCAUUCACUCCGCAUACUCAAUCCUAUAGACACCCUUUUAAUCCUUCAAUCACAGACGUAACUCGAUUUCACAAAACAGUCAAGAGUAUUCAAACCCACUUCAUUUAAAAAUCCCGAUUCACCAUUACAACACUGACUUCAGCAGCGAUUGCCUCAGUCUUCUCCAAAACUCUACG